UUUCCACGGGAGGCAGCAGUGAGGAAUAUUGGUCAAUGGGAGAGAUCCUGAACCAGCCAAGCCGCGUGAGGGAAGACGGCCCUAUGGGUUGUAAACCUCUUUUGUCGGAGAACAAAACCCGGGACGAGUCCCGGACUGCGUGUAUCCGAAGAAAAAGCAUCGGCUAACUCCGUGCCAGCAGCCGCGGUAAUACGUAGGAUGCGAGCGUUAUCCGGAUUUAUUGGGUUUAAAGGGAGCGUAGGCGGUCGGUUAAGUCAGCGGUAAAAUUGCGGGGCUCAGCCCCGUCGAGCCGUUGAAACUGGCCG
RNAcentral lists this ribosomal RNA (305 nucleotides) under uncultured bacterium. Its description in RNAcentral is "bacterial SSU rRNA". It matches the Rfam family "Bacterial small subunit ribosomal RNA", at positions 335 to 639 of the family's 1533-position model. The record is from RNAcentral.